Long non-coding RNA from Amphibalanus amphitrite, 325 nucleotides. RefSeq lists it as uncharacterized. NCBI's taxonomy places the organism in Eukaryota, Metazoa, Arthropoda, Thecostraca, Balanomorpha, Balanidae. The record is from RefSeq and is a predicted model, not a curated record. The transcript is spliced from 3 exons.
UUUGGUGUCCGGACUGAGACGUUCAGAUAAGAGCGAUCAUCCAAUCAUCAUACAGAAGGCAUCAGCUAACUGCGCAACACGGCGCGACCAGGAGCCAUGUACUCGCCGUUUGACGGACCCCGGAGGACCAUGUUCUUCAUUCUGCUUAUGUCUCUCAGGCCUGCAUAGCAGCUCUUCUCCUGUUAACCAGCGAAUCGUUUGGUCUAAAAGGCCUAAGGUUAUUCCCGGCCAAUUCACUAAGGUCCCAUCAUCAGCACCAUCACAGCAGCAGCGCCCACCCGGCCUUUCCCGACCAGGACCAAAUCGUGCGAGAGAGGGCCGAUAC